AGAGUUUGAUCAUGGCUCAGGAUGAACGCUGGCGGCGUGCCUAAUACAUGUAAGUCGAACGGAAGAUGUAGCAAUAUGUCUUUAGUGGCGAACGGGUGAGUAACGCGUUGGUGACCUGCCCCGAAGAGAGGGAUAACAGACCGAAAGGUUUGCUAAUACCGCGUAAUUUCCUUCUAGUUAGAGAGGAGGGAAGAAAGGCCGAAAGGCGCUUUGGGAGGGGCCUGCGUCCCAUCAGCUAGUUGGCGAGGUAAAAGCUCACCAAGGCGAUGACGGGUGGGGGACCUGAGAGGGUGACCCCCCACAAUGGAACUGAAACACGGUCCCUACACCUACGGGUGGCAGCAGUAGGGAAUAUUGGUUAAUGGGCGAAAGCCCGACCCAGCAACGCCGCGUGCACGAAGAAGGCCUUCGGGUUGUAAAGUGCUUUUUAGUGGGAUGAGGAAGGACAGUACCACUAGAAUAAGUCUCGGCUAACUACGUGCCAGCAGCCGCGGUAACACGUAGGAGACGAGCGUUAUCCGGAUUUACUGGGUGUAAAGCGCGUGCAGGCGGUCGGGUAAGUUGGAUGUGAAAGCUCCUGGCUUAACUGGGAGAGGUCGUUCAAAACUGCCGGGCUAGAGUGCAACAGAGGGGAGUGGAAUUCCGAGUGUAGCGGUAAAAUGCAUAGAUAUUCGGAAGAACACCAGUGGCGAAGGCGGCUCUCUGGGUUGCAACUGACGCUCAGACGCGAAAGCUAGGGUAGCGAACGGGAUUAGAGACCCCGGUAGUCCUAGCCGUAAACGAUGUGGACUUGGCGUGGGUGGGUUGAAAUCCAUCUGUGCCGAAGCAAACGCGAUAAGUCCACCACCUGGGGACUACGGCCGCAAGGUUAAAACUCAAAGGAAUUG
Molecule: ribosomal RNA, 887 nt
Filed under: uncultured bacterium
Lineage: Bacteria
Description: bacterial SSU rRNA
Rfam family: Bacterial small subunit ribosomal RNA
Source: RNAcentral